Molecule: ribosomal RNA, 301 nt
Filed under: uncultured bacterium
Lineage: Bacteria
Description: partial 16S ribosomal RNA
Rfam family: Bacterial small subunit ribosomal RNA
Source: RNAcentral
CAGUCGCCGCGGUAAAACGUGGGGUGCGAGCGUUAAUCGGAAUUACUGGGCGUAAAGCGUGCGCAGGCGGUUGUGUAAGACAGGUGUGAAAUCCCCGGGCUUAACCUGGGAACUGCGCUUGUGACUGCACAGCUAGAGUAUGGCAGAGGGGGGUGGAAUUCCACGUGUAGCAGUGAAAUGCGUAGAGAUGUGGAGGAACACCGAUGGCGAAGGCAGCCCCCUGGGCCAAUACUGACGCUCAUGCACGAAAGCGUGGGGAGCAAACAGGAUUAGAUACCCGAGUAGUCCCUGUCUCUUAUAC